CGGCUUUCUCCAUUGAUGGUUCUGUCGGAGGUGACUUCACCAGCUCAAUUGGUCCUCAUGCAUCGUCUCAACCUUGGUUUGAUGCGGCCGGCGGUGAUCCCUCAUCUCCUGGAUCAUGGGACCAAGAUGUACGUCCACACAGCUUUCAAAUUUACGUGUUCGACCGCUACUUCAAGAUUGCACCGAUCGGGCAUUAAGAUUGCGAGUCCAAUUUUCAAGUAUGCGUCUAUCGGGCAUUAAGAUUGACAUUGAUACCAUCAUCAAUAGGUUCGCAUCUAAAAAUCGGAAUUUCUAAUUAAGAGAAGAUUGGUGCAGAUUGCUACAUGGUGGUAGAUUUGUCACCGACCAACACUAUACUCCCUUUUUAAUUAAGGAGCAAUUUCUUCCCUCUCCAAAUUCUACCGGAUGGACGGGAGAGCAAUUCCUACAAUUCUCGAAGACAGGCAUUAUUCGCUAAAUAAAAUAACACUAGCCAUGAGGGCGAAGCGUGUAGAUUUAAAACACACGUCGACAUCUUGGCCGAGUGUCGACAAGAUGAAAUGGCCAAUUUAUCAAUAUUUAUGCUAUGUCCGAGACCGACGAGGCCGGGCGACGUAUCGGCUAAAGCUAACAAGGCUACAGCUAUUCAUUCAUUUCAUUUGUCUAUGACCGACGAGGCUAGACGAAACCAUGGCCGAGUGCCGACAAGGCCAGGUCACUAUACUAUUAACACGUCUAAAAUGGAUGGGAACCGGAUGCACCGUUGCUAGGCACCAACGAGGCAAAAGCAACCAUAAAAUCCAUGUUUGAUGAAGGCCGGGGUCCAUGACUGGGCACCGACGAGGAAAGGUCACCCGCUUCACCAAAUUCUCUCCACACUCCGACGUGGUGGUAGUGUACUGUGACCGGGUUUUGGCGAAACAAAGCAACCCGUUCCACAUUCACUAUAUUCACCGUUAAAUCUGCACCAACCUCAACCUUCGGCGAGCAAACAACUUUGAAGACGACGAUCAUAAAGCGCAGCUUAAUCGGAGGUAUUCCAUAGGCUCGUCCUGUGGAUGUAAUUAACCAGUAGCCUCAUUGCUAGGCGUCGGGAAUCAACGGACUUCACGCAAUCUCCAGUCAGCAUACCUUUUCAUUAAGCAUUCCUCGCGAAGGCAAAAGGCGAACUCCUGCGGGAGCCCUCAUGUAUUUGUAAACAUUCAUGUUAAUGAAUCAUAAUUAAUAAAAUACAGGGUUUCCCUAUUUUCUGUGUGUUCGUUGUUUUGUUUUCAUCAAACAGUUUUAUUCCAAAAUUCAUACACAUAUAGAAAGACAAGCCAUGCUUAAAUGAUAAAAUAACUCACAGUAAAACAGUUAAUAUCUAUAUAGCUAGUCUUCUCAUAAAUUUUAGGCAAAAUUUGAUACAAUACACUUAAAUUUUGUGUAAUUUGCUGGUAGAAAUCUUAAAAAUGUGCCACGGAAAAAAGACACUCUAAAACCUAAUAAUUUGCUAGAUGGCACUUUUGUCUCAAUUGGAGAGAUCAAUUCUUCAAAAAUACGAGAAUGCCCCUAGAGUCAAAAGAUUUUGAGCUAGGGCUGUGGAGUAAAAAUGUAAUAUGAUGUAUAUAUGCUAAUGACGUAAUUGGGGUGAUGGAAAAUUUAGAGUUACAUAAUUUCUAAAAUUUUAUUUUAACACCAUGUUUGAAACUUGGACCAGCAUUUUCUCGUCUUUAUUAAGACUUUAUCUCUCCUAUUUAGUCAUAGGUGUCCUCUAAUAAAUUAUUAUUUUUUUAGAUAUCUUUCAGCGAUGACACUUUUUUCAAUGUCUAUCAGCAAAUUAUACAAAUUUUGAGUGUUCUGUAGCAAAAUUUGUCUAACUUUUACAUAGUAUUCUAAUGAAAAGAAAUUAAAAUGGUCAUAUAGAGGGCCAUACAUAGCGAUAUUUGUCCUCAGCCAAGUGCUACUAACUGGCCACGAGGCCCACGACUAGAAAUGGCAAUGGAGCCCUGUUCACCGUUUCCCCGCGGUGAAUUCACCUAUUAGGUGACGGGGAUGGUUAAUAUGUAUUCACCAUGGAGUCUAAAAUGGUUACAAACCUCUCACCAUCAGGGAUGAGCGUCCCCGCCCCCGCGGUGACCCGACUUUACUGUACAGAUGACUAAUUCUAGACUUUUUAGAUGUUUUGGCCCAUAAUACAAAAGCCCAUUUAAUAGGCAUAUAUAAAAUCUAACCCUAAGUCAACAGGUCAAACUCCAAAUCCCCACCCAAAAUUCCAAAUCCUCCAGAUCCGCACGGCUGCAUGCUCGUGCCAGCCACCACCGUCAUCCGCUAAACCGCUAGGAGCCGCCGUCUCACCGCCGUGCACCGCUAGUCCGCCAGCCACCAGGCGCGCCGCGCUCGCUGCCAUCUCUCGCGCAGCGCGGGCGUCCGCCGCUGGGAGCCGCCGAGAGAUGCCAUGGACUGAAGCCGUCGUCGCCAGCAGCCUCCGUUGAUGCGCCGCCGAGCACGGCGCCUACAGUCGUCUUCACCGGGAGCCGCCGACAGCCUCCGUUGAUGCGCCGGUGGGCACGGCGCCUACAACCGUUUUCACCAGGAGCCGCCGGCAGCCUCUGUCGACGCGCCGCCGGGCGCGGCACCUACAACCGUCUUCACUCUUCACUAGGACUCUGGGAGCCACCGUCAUCAUGCCGCCGAGAGCUGCCAUCGACGUCCGCCAGCGCCCUCCGUCGUCACUUGCCCGCAGCCCUGCACGCCGUUCGCCGCCAGCACGCCAUCCACCGACCAUGGCUUCGGUCUCUCCCCAUAUGACUGUGAAUAUGUUGUUUAACUGGGGAUGGGUUCACCACGGGAAAAAUUCACCGCGUGGUGAUCGGGGCUGGAGAAAUUGUAGCCUCGUCGUGGUUGACGGGGGCGGGGACGGUGAAAAGAUUUGACCGCGGUGACAGAGACGCGGAUGUGACCCCUGACGGUGAAUUCACCGUUGCCAUCUCUACCCCCGACACAUAUAGAUCGACACGUGAUUCAGUAUAAACAUGGGUGUACACAUAUAUGUCUAUAGUUCUCUUUCCGGUCGAGAAGAAAACAACGUUUUGGAAAUUGAGACAGUCUAUAGACCAUUAUAUUGCAAAAUAUUUAAAACUUAAAAGAAACCUGAUGGAAUUCAGACAUCAUGAGAGCGCCCUUUGAGAUAAAUUAAUAUACAGAUAUGAGUUUUAUUCAUCUUACAUAAAAUAUUUGAAACAUAUUGUUCUCCGAAGAUUAUUAUUUUUUAUUUAUUGAAGCGUUUGCAAAACACAAUUAAUCAUAUAAACCUGGUUGGGGUCGUACCAGCUAGUGCAAAUCAAGGUGCACUUCUUCUUGUUUUUUUAUUUUUUUGAAACAUAUCAAGGUACGCUUCAACUUAUUUACCGUUUACUAAUAACCUGUGAAAUGUGGUGGUCAAGGUUCGAAGCAAAAAUUCUUCAUGUUGGGUCAAAUUACCUGGGUUUCUGUGUGGGCUGAACACUUUGGCCCCAUGGGCUAGAAUGCUGGACAAUCUAAUGGGCUAGUCGACCUAUCUGGCUCGAUCGGUAAGUUUAAUUUGUAGCCAUGGAUCAGCCAAGAUGUGAUCUAGCCCAUGGUUGAGUUUUUUUUUUCUUAUGCAUUUUAUUGAUUAUAGAUAACCAGACACAUAUCGCAUGAGUUAUCCUUAGUGAGAAGUCAACUGCAAGUACAAGCAGUUUUGCAUAAAGGCCUCUUGAAGAUGGCCAAAUUGACAUGAGCUCAUGAAAAUUGCUAUGGACGACUUCUAAAAAACUAGAAAAAGCAAUCAAAUCCUUCUCUUCUCCACCAGGUUGCAAGCUUGAUCCGUAGCGACGACGGUGAUGAAGAAACAAUGAGUAGUUGCUGAUGAAAGUGCAAGGAAGCAUACCCAAAAGAGGUCUCCGCUAACUUAUUACUCCAUCCGUCCUAAAAUAUAGAUAUUUUUUAGAUUGGUAUGAGUAUUAAGGAAGUAGGUGAGAAUGAUGGGUGGAUGUGCGUGAUUAGUUAAAAAGAGAAAGAAGGUGAAGAAGAAUGGUUAUGAUUGGUUGAGAGGAGGAGAUAGGAGGAGAAAUAGUUUUAUUUUAGGACAAGAGACACUGUGCUAGAAAUGGCUACAUUUUGGGACGGAGGUGAUAACUUCUCUAUGACGAAGGAAGCUUCCAUGAUAAAACAAUAAAAACUCAGCUUCCCUAAGAAGAUGCACGGUCGUUGAUGAAGGAGGCUUGCAUUGUGUUUAACUCGCCGGAGAUGAACAAAAUGGUCAGCGCAACAUUUUGUGAAGCAAACUUGCUUUACUUCUAGUUGGGGGCGUCCAUGGCAAAUCUAGAAACCAUUCCAUGGAUAGAUUUGGCCGGAUCCAUGGAAAAGAACUGGGAGAAGAGAAAUGUGACGCCGGUGAAACCUUGCACUAACAAAAGCACCAAAGAAAAAGAGAGAACAAAGAGGAAAAACACACUACGGUAAGAACCCAACUAUCUAGAUCUAGACCCCUUCCCCCAUUGUCGGUGAGGAAUUGAUGGAGGAAAUUAAAGGGUCCGAACGGAGAGAGAGGAAGAAGUCGCCAUUUUUUCGCCCGGAGAGAGGACACCAAGAGAGAGAGAAAGGCUCCUCCCGCUAUCGUAGUCUGAUACCCCUGCGGUUGAGUUUCAAUGGACAAUAUUGAUCACUAUGUCCAUGGGUUUGCAACCAAAUCUUUUUUGCAUCAAGGUGGUUCUUCCUCGAUGCCUCCGAUUCCCAUAGCCUUAUUGAAUUGCUCAUCAGGAGCUGCACUAUUGCAAAAUCAAUCGCAGUAUUCUACUCCCUUUAAUUGCCAGGAUAAAUAUUGUAGGAAGAGCGGAAGAAAGAUAUAACUUGUCCCCUUUUAUCCGGGCUAAAAACUACGUAUUUGGUCCGGGAAGAAAAUCAGCUAUAUAUAUUUAGUAGUCAUAUGAUGCUAGUAGAACUGCACAAUUCGACUUGCAACUUUGCAAGUGCGAGAGCAAGUGUGAGUGAUGAAGAGGUGGAACACAACCACCUCUACCUUGGUAUAUUAUAUGAUGAUAAUUAAUCUCUUGGUGAUUAAUCUAUUGGUAAAGAAAAGUGUAGUAAUGUAGUGCACUUACCAAGAAAUUAAAUAUUGUCAUUAAAUAUUGGCUAUAAUACUUAGCAAAAUACUCUCUCCAUUCCAAAAUAUAAGGCAAAACCACCCUUAACCCAAAGACCAAGAAAUAAUUAUUAUCAUCUUGUAGUUUGAAUCAUCCUAAUAAAUAUAAUGCAUGCAUCCAAUAGGAUUAG
Molecule: non-coding RNA, 5256 nt
Organism: Oryza sativa Japonica Group (Japanese rice)
Lineage: Eukaryota; Viridiplantae; Streptophyta; Magnoliopsida; Poales; Poaceae
Source: RefSeq, a predicted model, not a curated record